AUGAACGCUGGCGGCGUGCCUAAUACAUGCAAGUCGAGCGAACGGACGAGAAGCUUGCUUCUCUGAUGUUAGCGGCGGACGGGUGAGUAACACGUGGAUAACCUACCUAUAAGACUGGGAUAACUUCGGGAAACCGGAGCUAAUACCGGAUAAUAUUUUGAACCGCAUGGUUCAAAAGUGAAAGACGGUCUUGCUGUCACUUAUAGAUGGAUCCGCGCUGCAUUAGCUAGUUGGUAAGGUAACGGCUUACCAAGGCAACGAUGCAUAGCCGACCUGAGAGGGUGAUCGGCCACACUGGAACUGAGACACGGUCCAGACUCCUACGGGAGGCAGCAGUAGGGAAUCUUCCGCAAUGGGCGAAAGCCUGACGGAGCAACGCCGCGUGAGUGAUGAAGGUCUUCGGGUCGUAAAACUCUGUUAUUAGGGAAGAACAUAUGUGUAAGUAACUGUGCACAUCUUGACGGUACCUAAUCAGAAAGCCACGGCUAACUACGUG
Molecule: ribosomal RNA, 496 nt
Filed under: uncultured bacterium
Lineage: Bacteria
Description: partial 16S ribosomal RNA
Rfam family: Bacterial small subunit ribosomal RNA
Source: RNAcentral